UCUGUUGUUUAUGCCCCACGAUAACGUAGGCAGAAAAACCUACCGUUACGCGUUGGUCGUGAUUGAUA
Nematostella vectensis (starlet sea anemone) is the source of this 68-nucleotide non-coding RNA. The record is from Rfam. NCBI's taxonomy places the organism in Eukaryota, Metazoa, Cnidaria, Anthozoa, Actiniaria, Edwardsiidae.